GAGGACAUUGGUGAGAUGAAAGACGUCAGUAUCCGAUGUAAAUACACAUGCAUGCUCUGCUGUAAAAUCGUUUUGGUAUGUGAUUUCAUGGUUGGAUCUUGAGUACUUGUCAUGGCUCUUGAUUUAUUUUGGAGUAUUCACCAUCAGAUUAGAAACCAAAUAGUGAUACCACCAGACAUAGUUGAAAGGAAAUGUCCAUACACAGUCUUGGAGUACAUAGUGGUAGAGACAUGACAGUCCAUUACAUAUUUUGACUGAAUUAAAGCUUCUUAAAGCUCCAUGUCUUGUGUAAACUGUCUAACUGAAUGUUUGUAUUCUAAUAAAAACUAAGGUUGGAGACAUUUCAAAGAUAUAUGUCAGUGUAAAAAUGUUAAACAAAAUAUCUGUCUUUGUUAGAAAUAAAUAACCUGUCUUUGUGAGAAAUAAAUAACCUGUCAUUUGUAACUUUGUAUUAACUUAAUCAUCCAAAGACAAUUUAUCUUCUGCAAAUGGCUGUCCAAAACAGUUUCAACCAGGCAUCAUGUAGUUUCAAAACAGUUAAGAUAAAAUUGUUUUAAACAGACUUGUAAGGUGACAAGAAUGGUAAAAAGAUAAAUGAUCUGCAUUAAAAUGUUUCUAUCUUGA
Molecule: long non-coding RNA, 624 nt
Organism: Ruditapes philippinarum (Manila clam)
Lineage: Eukaryota; Metazoa; Mollusca; Bivalvia; Venerida; Veneridae
Exons: 2
Source: RefSeq, a predicted model, not a curated record